RNAcentral lists this non-coding RNA (383 nucleotides) under Cephalotus follicularis. RNAcentral's name for it is "Eukaryotic small subunit ribosomal RNA". It matches the Rfam family "Eukaryotic small subunit ribosomal RNA", at positions 112 to 471 of the family's 1831-position model. Lineage: Eukaryota; Viridiplantae; Streptophyta; Magnoliopsida; Oxalidales; Cephalotaceae. The record is from Rfam by way of RNAcentral.
GCAGAUUUGCCUACGUAUGUGAGAAUUCUCAAGGCAAAUUGCAGAGGUUGCUUGUAUUCCUUUGUAUACUUUUGGUCAAGUAAUAAAGGUUGGGAAUUUCCUGUAAUUUGUGUGGUUUUUACUAGUGCUCUUUGUUGCUUCAUUUAUUGUACAUUGUUGUGAGUGAAUUGUUUAGGCUCUGCCGUGGGGUUUUUUGCAUUGAGCGGCUGAGAGUAGGUAGGCAUCUAGUGCCAUUAUAGGGUAAAAAUUGGCCUACCGUGGUGGUGACAGGAGAUGGAGAAUUAGGGUUCGAUUCCAGAUGGGGGGCCCGAGAAACGGCUACCAUAUCCAAGGAAAGCAGCAGGCGCGCAAAUUACCCAAUCCUGACACAGGGAGGUAGUGAC